This 69-nucleotide transfer RNA is filed under the name Caudoviricetes sp. RNAcentral's name for it is "tRNA-OTHER". The record is from RNAcentral. Lineage: Duplodnaviria; Heunggongvirae; Uroviricota; Caudoviricetes.
GGCUGGCUAGGUAAUGGUACUCCCCUGUCACGGGAGAGAAUGCGGGAUCGUAACCCGUCGCGCCUGCCA